This 250-nucleotide ribosomal RNA is filed under the name uncultured prokaryote. RNAcentral's name for it is "partial 16S ribosomal RNA". It matches the Rfam family "Bacterial small subunit ribosomal RNA", at positions 524 to 773 of the family's 1533-position model. The record is from RNAcentral.
UACGAAGGGGGCUAGCGUUGUUCGGAAUCACUGGGCGUAAAGCGCACGUAGGCGGAUCGAUAAGUCAGGGGUGAAUUCCCGAGGCUCAACCUCGGAACUGCCUUUGAUACUGUCGACCUUGAGUCCGGGAGAGGUGAGUGGAACUCCGAGUGUAGAGGUGAAAUUCGUAGAUAUUCGGAAGAACACCAGUGGCGAAGGCGGCUCACUGGCCCGGUACUGACGCUGAGGUGCGAAAGCGUGGGGAGCAAAC